UACGUAGGGUGCGAGCGUUGUCCGGAAUUACUGGGCGUAAAGAGCUCGUAGGUGGUUUGUCGCGUUGUCCGUGAAAUUCCCUGGCUUAACUGGGGGGCGUGCGGGCGAUACGGGGCAGACUGGAGUACUGCAGGGGAGACUGGAAUUCCUGGUGUAGCGGUGGAAUGCGCAGAUAUCAGGAGGAACACCGGUGGGCGAAGGCGGGGUCUCUGGGCAGUAAC
RNAcentral lists this ribosomal RNA (221 nucleotides) under uncultured bacterium. RNAcentral describes it as "partial 16S ribosomal RNA". It matches the Rfam family "Bacterial small subunit ribosomal RNA", at positions 524 to 740 of the family's 1533-position model. The record is from RNAcentral.